RNAcentral lists this ribosomal RNA (427 nucleotides) under uncultured bacterium. RNAcentral's name for it is "partial 16S ribosomal RNA". It matches the Rfam family "Bacterial small subunit ribosomal RNA", at positions 354 to 796 of the family's 1533-position model. The record is from RNAcentral.
GUGGGGAAUAUUGGGCAAUGGGGGAAACCCUGACCCAGCGACGCCGCGUGAGGGAAGACGGCCUUCGGGUUGUAAACCUCUUUUGUACGGGAAGAAGGAAGUGACGGUACUGUACGAAUAAGUCCCGGCUAACUACGUGCCAGCAGCCGCGGUAAUACGUAGGGGACGAGCGUUGUCCGGAAUUACUGGGCGUAAAGGGCGCGCAGGCUGUGCUGCAAGUCAGCUGUGAAAUGUCUGGGCUUAACCCGGGCAUGCGGUUGAGACUGCAGUGCUGGAGUGCUGUAGAGGCAAGUGGAAUUCCCAGUGUAGCGGUGAAAUGCGUAGAUAUUGGGAAGAACACCGGUGGCGAAGGCGACUUGCUGGCCAGUAACUGACGCUGAGGCGCGAAAGCCAGGGGAGCAAACGGGAUUAGAAACCCUGGUAGUCC